Molecule: long non-coding RNA, 202 nt
Filed under: Mytilus galloprovincialis (Mediterranean mussel)
Lineage: Eukaryota; Metazoa; Mollusca; Bivalvia; Mytilida; Mytilidae
Source: RNAcentral
GAGAAAAGCAAUCGAGUUGAGAUGACCAAUGAUAAUCUGUUUAUCGCUAUUUUACCUUUUGACGAUGUUGUUAAUUUCAUUGACAACAGUGUGUGUGCCCUUAGUUUCUAGCAAUAAUUCUUCCUAUCACUCUACUGUGCUGAGAAAGGAAAUUAUCAGUCAGAAAGUUCAAAGGAAAAUUUCAUAAAAUAGCGAUAAACCA